Long non-coding RNA from Daphnia pulex (common water flea), 827 nucleotides. RefSeq lists it as uncharacterized. The transcript is spliced from 5 exons. NCBI's taxonomy places the organism in Eukaryota, Metazoa, Arthropoda, Branchiopoda, Diplostraca, Daphniidae. The record is from RefSeq and is a predicted model, not a curated record.
GCUACGUAAACUACAAGGCAACAGCAAACAUUAAGUCAAUCACAAAUGAUGGUGAAGAUGAAAAAUCUAUUCCACACUAACCUGUCUCACAACAGCAGCAUGUUCCUGGCUCAUUUGAUCCUCACUCUAGGGACUGGGCAUCUAAUUAAAUUAAUAUUCAUCUGUAUCACCGUUUAGCUUUAUUCUACACGGUUCAAUGGCCAUUGAUAAUUGGAGAGCAUUAUUGGAAUGCAACAGCUUAUCUGGCUUCGUCUGGUCCUAAGUUACACCAAACAAAACACAUCAUAAGUUACUUUAAAAAAUCUAAACAAAUUUAGAUUAGGAUAUUUGGACUUAAUAUUUCAACUUAAAUUUCAGCUGAAGUUUUUGUGUGACCUAGGUGCUUGUGACAAUAGAAAUCAAGGUUAACUUCCCCUGUCAAAUCGUGGUAAAUCUUCAAGAUAUUGAUGCCUUCCCCAGAUCCAAUUCUUUGCUGCUAUCUCUUCAAACAACAAGGAACUGAACACUCACCCACUGGGAUAAUCAGGAGGAUGAGGAGGGCCCUGGUCGAACGAGGACUUGGAAGCUAAAAUGGCUUUGCACCCAUCUCUCUUCUUCCUUGUCCAGGUAACUCCCUGGCACAAUCAAUCAAUGCAGUUUCUUCCCUUUCUUGAUUGACCUUAUGUGCAAGUUUAAACAAAUUGACUACCAUUUACUCAUUUAGGCAUGCAAUGAGGAAAAAAGCUACUUGUGAGAUUGCAACUGUUGCUCUGUAUUUAUGAAACAUGGUUUUUUACUGAAGAUAAUUCUAUAGGUUUUUUACUAUACUGAUUUAUAAUUAACGUUAU